UACUUUCCUCCCUCUCCAGAUACCUUCCUCUUCUCUCCCAUUUCUUCUCUCCAACCCUCAGAUUCCCUCCUCUCUAGUGGGGGGCAGGGCCCUUGCGCAAGGGACCAUUCCUCCCCUCCCCCACCCUAGGCAUCUGACCCCAGAAGGGAAGGGUUUUCUCCAGGGGACUUGCCAGGGGACUUGCCAGGGGACUUGCCGUCUCUCACUUCCCUCUGGCUCCCUGAAGCCUUGCUGAUUCCACCCUAAGUGCUGAGUCUGGAAACAGGGGUUCAGGAAAUGGCCUCCCUCCUACCCCCACCCCAGUUCAUUUGUCCUGGAGAAGGGGCACUUCUGCCAUUUGACCCUCCUGUCCCCAUACCCAUGCUAUUGGCCUCUGGGUGGAGUCUGUUUAUCAGUGCAGAGACACUCAGGCCUCUCCUCCUCCUUUAUCUCAGCUUCUCAGGGGAGGCAAAGGGAGGGAGUCUUCACUCCCCAAGCCAUCUUGCCCUUGGGUGGCUCCUCUUGUCCUGCUCUGUGCCCUUGCUCAUGGAGUUUCUUUAUUUCUGGAAUAUUCUUUCUUCACUCCUUUCUCCUAUGAUUGAAAUCUCCCCGGAUCCUUCAAUUUGCAGGCAGAGGACUGCACAGCCAGGAGACCCUGAUCUGCUAAAUUAUUAGUCCUGUGACAAUAAACAAGCCACUUAAAUUCUCAAGCAGGUGGCUUGAGUCUUCAUCUCCCUAGUGAUUGCAAAUCUUUAGUGGCAGGGAUGGUGUCCCUUUUUCCUUCGUAUCUUCCCACGAUGCUUUAUAAAUAUGUGUAGGAAUGAACUGCAUUCCAAGCCAGAAACUGUCUUUCCCACAUCCUACUGAGAUCUCACUGUGGUCACAGUGAGCAUAUUUCUGAGAGAAGGUAUUUCACUUCUGUCCCUUGUUUUCCCAUCCCAGGCAAAAUAGGAUAGUCCCUCUCAUGGUACCUCAGCAGUAUUUCCUGCCUACAUCAGCACUGGGCGAUGGUGUGUGUGUUGGGAUGGAGAUGAGAAGACUGAGAUACAUGGAAGUACAGUACACUUGCUCCAAGUUAUAAAAUCAACAAUCAUCAAAGCCUAGACUGAAGCAAACUCUGAACUAUUGAGACCCUCAGUCAUUAAGUUUCUAUUUUUGGAAGGCUCUUCUUCAUCAGAAUCUUCUUCUGUCUAAACUCUUUCACCUAUUCUUCAUGGCUUGACCUUGUUAUGACUGCCUUGGAGGCUAUUAUUCUCCAGACUCUCAAACAUUCGUUUCACCUUUUGAAGAUCAUGUCUUUCAGGAAACAACAAAUGUUGGGGAGGAUGUGGAGAAAAGGGAACCCUCUUGCACACUUCAUGGUAAUGCAAGCUGAUAUAGACACUCUGGAAAACAGUAUGGAGGUUCCUCAAGAAGUUAAAAAUAGAGCUACUCUACAACCCUGCUAACUGCACCACUAGGUAUUUACUCCAAAGAUACAAAUGUAGAGAUCUGCAGGGGCAGCU
Molecule: long non-coding RNA, 1484 nt
Organism: Canis lupus familiaris (dog)
Lineage: Eukaryota; Metazoa; Chordata; Mammalia; Carnivora; Canidae
Exons: 4
Source: RefSeq, a predicted model, not a curated record